UUAACCUUGGAGGAGAUGGAAGAUGUGAUUCGCCUGGAUAUUGUGCCAAGUAUGGGUCAUAUAGCUGCAUGGAUUUGGAAUCUAACAACAUUUUAGACACACAACUUGUUCAGUCCAAUGAAGUGACGAACUCUGGAGCAAUGGAACUUGAGGGAUUAAAGAGAUGUCUGGCAAAGUUUGAUGAAAGUGGGAUGAAGGUGAAGUCAAUGAACACAGACAGACAUGCUCAAAUCAAAUCCUACAUGUCAAAACAAAGACCAAAAAUCGAGCACUACUUUGAUGUAUGGCAUGUAG
Xenia sp. Carnegie-2017 is the source of this 294-nucleotide long non-coding RNA. RefSeq lists it as uncharacterized. The record is from RefSeq and is a predicted model, not a curated record. The transcript has 2 exons. Lineage: Eukaryota; Metazoa; Cnidaria; Anthozoa; Malacalcyonacea; Xeniidae.